Molecule: ribosomal RNA, 468 nt
Filed under: uncultured bacterium
Lineage: Bacteria
Description: partial 16S ribosomal RNA
Rfam family: Bacterial small subunit ribosomal RNA
Source: RNAcentral
GACGAACGCUGGCGGCGUGCUUAACACAUGCAAGUCGAACGGAAAGGCCCUGCUUUUGUGGGGUGCUCGAGUGGCGAACGGGUGAGUAACACGUGAGUAACCUGCCCUUUACUUUGGGAUAACUUCAGGAAACUGGGGCUAAUACCGGAUAGGAGCUCCUGCUGCAUGGUGGGGGUUGGAAAGUUUCGGCGGUUGGGGAUGGACUCGCGGCUUAUCAGCUUGUUGGUGGGGUAGUGGCUUACCAAGGCUUUGACGGGUAGCCGGCCUGAGAGGGUGACCGGCCACAAUGGGACUGAGAUACGGCGCAGACUCCUACGGGAGGCAGCAGUGGGGAAUAUUGCACAAUGGGCGGAAGCCUGAUGCAGCAACGCCGCGUGCGGGAUGACGGCCUUCGGGUUGUAAACCGCUUUCGCCUGUGACGAAGCGUGAGUGACGGUAAUGGGUAAAGAAGCACCGGCUAACUACGUG